GCCUGGCUAGCUCAGGCAGAGGAGCCUGAGACUCUUGAUCUUGGGGGUGUGAGUUCGAGCCCCACGCUGGGUG
RNAcentral lists this transfer RNA (73 nucleotides) under Felis catus (domestic cat). It matches the Rfam family "tRNA". From Rfam's summary of the family: Transfer RNA (tRNA) molecules are approximately 80 nucleotides in length. Their secondary structure includes four short double-helical elements and three loops (D, anti-codon, and T loops). Lineage: Eukaryota; Metazoa; Chordata; Mammalia; Carnivora; Felidae. The record is from Rfam by way of RNAcentral.